UACGGGGGGGGCAAGCGUUGUUCGGAAUUACUGGGCGUAAAGGGCUCGUAGGUGGCCAACUAAGUCAGACGUGAAAUCCCUCAGCUUAACUGGGGAACUGCGUCUGAUACUGGAUGGCUUGAGUUUGGGAGAGGGAUGCGGAAUUCCAGGUGUAGCGGUGAAAUGCAUAGAUAUCUGGAGGAACGCCGGUGGCGAAGGCGGCAUCCUGGACCAAUACUGACACUGAGGAGCGAAAGCCAGGGGAGCAAACGGG
This 253-nucleotide ribosomal RNA is filed under the name uncultured bacterium. Its description in RNAcentral is "partial 16S ribosomal RNA". It matches the Rfam family "Bacterial small subunit ribosomal RNA", at positions 524 to 776 of the family's 1533-position model. The record is from RNAcentral.